CCUACGGGAGGCAGCAGUAGGGAAUUUUCCACAAUGGGCGAAAGCCUGAUGGAGCAAUACCGCGUGCAGGAUGAAGGCCUUCGGGUCGUAAACUGCUUUUAUGUGCGAAGAAUUUGACGGUAACACAUGAAUAAGGAUCGGCUAACUACGUGCCAGCAGCCGCGGUCAUACGUAGGAUCCAAGCGUUAUCCGGAAUUACUGGGCGUAAAGAGUUGCGUAGGUGGCAUUAUAAGUGGAGCGUGAAAGCGUGCGGCUCAACCGCAUUAUUGCGUUCCAAACUGUGAAGCUUGAGUAUGGGAGAGGUAGAUGGAAUUUCUAGUGUAGGAGUGAAAUCCGUAGAUAUUAGAAGGAACACCGAUGGCGUAGGCAGUCUACUGGCCCAUUACUGACACUAAGGCACGAAAGCGUGGGGAGCAAACGGGAUUAGAUACCCCGGUAGUCCACGCUGUAAACUAUGGAUGCUAGCUGUGACACACAUCGACCUGUGUCGUAGCGAAGUUAACGCGUUAAGCACUCCGCCGUCGGGAGGUACGGUCGCGAGAUAAACUACGAAGAAGUAGACGCGUGNGACGUGCGACGGACGACGACGAGGGAGAGG
Molecule: ribosomal RNA, 598 nt
Filed under: uncultured bacterium
Lineage: Bacteria
Description: bacterial SSU rRNA
Rfam family: Bacterial small subunit ribosomal RNA (bases 1-520)
Source: RNAcentral